This 311-nucleotide ribosomal RNA is filed under the name uncultured cyanobacterium. Its description in RNAcentral is "bacterial SSU rRNA". It matches the Rfam family "Bacterial small subunit ribosomal RNA", at positions 442 to 768 of the family's 1533-position model. The record is from RNAcentral. Lineage: Bacteria; Bacillati; Cyanobacteriota.
GGGAAGAAGAUCUGACGGUACCUGAGGAAUAAGCAUCGGCUAACUCCGUGCCAGCAGCCGCGGUAAUACGGAGGAUGCAAGCGUUAUCCGGAAUUAUUGGGCGUAAAGCGUCCGCAGGUGGUCUUUCAAGUCUGCUGUCAAAGACCAGAGCUUAACUCUGGGCAGGCGGUGGAAACUGAGAGACUAGAGUUCGGUAGGGGUAGUGGGAAUUCCCAGUGUAGCGGUGAAAUGCGUAGAUAUUGGGAAGAACAUCGGUGGCGAAGGCGUGCUACUGGACCGAAACUGACACUCAGGGACGAAAGCUAGGGUAG